RNAcentral lists this ribosomal RNA (434 nucleotides) under uncultured fungus. RNAcentral's name for it is "eukaryotic LSU rRNA". It matches the Rfam family "Eukaryotic large subunit ribosomal RNA", at positions 1 to 432 of the family's 3401-position model. Lineage: Eukaryota; Fungi. The record is from RNAcentral.
GACCUCGGAUCAGGUAGGAUUACCCGCUGAACUUAAGCAUAUCAAUAAGCGGAGGAAAAGAAACCAACAGGGAUUACCUUAGUAACGGCGAGUGAAGCGGUAAAAGCUCAGAUUUGAAAUCUAUUUUAUUUUAUAAAAUCGAGUUGUAAUCUGUAGAAGGUUGAAUGGUUGAAUAACUGAUUUAAGUUUCCUGGAAUGGAACAUCAUAGAGGGUGAGAAUCCCGUGAUUAUCAGUAGCUAAACCAAUUAAUUCACCUUUCAACGAGUCGAGUUGUUUGGGAAUGCAGCUCUAAAUGGGUGGUAAAUUUCAUCUAAAGCUAAAUAUCUGCCAGAGACCGAUAGCGAACAAGUAGAGUGAUCGAAAGAUGAAAAGCACUUUGAAAAGAGAGUUAAAUAGUACGUGAAAUUGUUGAAAGGGAAGCGCUUGCAAUUAG